ACACCGUUGGUGAAAUGGUAUCAUGCAACUUUGCCAUAGUUGCGGCAAGGGUUCGAUUCCCUUACGGUGUA
This is a transfer RNA of Cryptococcus amylolentus CBS 6039, 71 nucleotides long. It matches the Rfam family "tRNA". Rfam says of the family: Transfer RNA (tRNA) molecules are approximately 80 nucleotides in length. Their secondary structure includes four short double-helical elements and three loops (D, anti-codon, and T loops). Further hydrogen bonds mediate the characteristic L-shaped molecular structure. tRNAs have two regions of fundamental functional importance: the anti-codon, which is responsible for specific mRNA codon recognition, and the 3' end, to which the tRNAs corresponding amino acid is attached (by aminoacyl-tRNA synthetases). tRNAs cope with the degeneracy of the genetic code in two manners: having more than one tRNA (with a specific anti-codon) for a particular amino acid; and 'wobble' base-pairing, i.e. permitting non-standard base-pairing at the 3rd anti-codon position. NCBI's taxonomy places the organism in Eukaryota, Fungi, Basidiomycota, Tremellomycetes, Tremellales, Cryptococcaceae. The record is from Rfam.